CCUACGGGUGGCAGCAGUGAGGAAUAUUGGGCAAUGGAGGCAACUCUGACCCAGCCAUGCCGCGUGAGUGAUGAAGGCUUUCGGAUUGUAAAGCUCUUUCUGAUGUGACGAUGAUGACGGUGGCAUCUAAAGAAGCCCUGGCUAACUUCGUGCCAGCAGCCGCGGUAAUACGAAGGGGGCCCGCGUUGUUCGGAAUUACUGGUCGUAAAGGGAGUGUAGGCGGUUUAGUAAGAUAGUGGUGAAAGCCCAGGGCUUAACUUUGGAAUUGCCAUUGUAACUAUUAGACUAGAAUUACAUAGAGGAAAGUGGAAUACCUGGUGUAGAGGUGAAAUUCGUAGAUAUUGGGAAGAAAACCAGUGGCGAAGGCGACUAUCUGGCUGUACAUUGACGCUGAGGCUCGAAAGCAUGGGGAUCAAACAGGAUUAGAUACCCUUGUAGUC
This 440-nucleotide ribosomal RNA is filed under the name uncultured bacterium. RNAcentral's name for it is "partial 16S ribosomal RNA". It matches the Rfam family "Bacterial small subunit ribosomal RNA", at positions 338 to 795 of the family's 1533-position model. The record is from RNAcentral.